This 199-nucleotide ribosomal RNA is filed under the name uncultured bacterium. RNAcentral describes it as "partial 16S ribosomal RNA". It matches the Rfam family "Bacterial small subunit ribosomal RNA", at positions 326 to 539 of the family's 1533-position model. The record is from RNAcentral.
ACGCUCGACACCUACGGGACGCAGCAGUCGGGAAUAUUGCGCAAUGGAGGAAACUCUGACGCAGUGACGCCGCGUAUAGGAAGAAGGUUUUCGGAUUGUAAACUAUUGUCGUUAGGGAAGAGAAAGGACAGUACCUAAGGAGGAAGCUCCGGCUAACUACGUGUCAGCAGCCGCGGUAAUCUGAGCGGGCUGGCAAGGC